This 71-nucleotide transfer RNA is filed under the name Camelus bactrianus (Bactrian camel). It matches the Rfam family "tRNA". Rfam says of the family: Transfer RNA (tRNA) molecules are approximately 80 nucleotides in length. The record is from Rfam by way of RNAcentral. Lineage: Eukaryota; Metazoa; Chordata; Mammalia; Artiodactyla; Camelidae. RNAcentral also lists the same sequence under 3 other names.
GAGGAUGUAGCUCAGUGGUAGAGUGCUUGCUUAGCAUGCAUGAGGUCUUGGGUUCAAUCCCCAGAACUUCU